Non-coding RNA from Triticum aestivum (bread wheat), 124 nucleotides. NCBI's taxonomy places the organism in Eukaryota, Viridiplantae, Streptophyta, Magnoliopsida, Poales, Poaceae. The record is from Rfam.
CACAUACUCCCUUCGUUCAAAAAUACUUGUUCUAAAAAUGGAUAAAAUGGAUGUAUCUAUAACUAAAAUAAGUCUAGCUACAACCAUUUCUCAGACAAGUAUUUCCGGACGGAGGGAGUAAAUC